AUGACGUCAUUUCAAAAAAAGAAAAAAGAAUUCAGACUGGAUUACCUCGCUGAAUCCUUUUUGGCAGGGACUUGUUUUCUGAUUGUCCCAAAUAAGUGGCUUUCUCCCGAGCCCAUUUUAAUUUUUUUUGGAGAAACUCACUUGCGAUUUGUCAACAUGUUGUGUAGCACUUUCGAUCCCAAUCUUGCAGGCCUGCUUCAAAAAGAGGAAAUUUGUCAGGGUCCUGGGUCUCCUGACCCAGCGUGUUUAGUUCUUCAAGGUUUUUGUAUUAUUCUACUUGUGAGUUGUUUUAUGGUUUCUAGUUUUGAUCCCUUGCCCUUCAUGUUUCUGUGUCCCCUCAGUUCUGUUUAUCUGCUGCACAUGACAACUUGGAUCCAACCUCAGAACAUAAAGAGCCCAAACGCAGCAGGACCAAACCUACUCUGCAUUAUUAAAGACCAAAAUCUAAAAAGUAAAAAUUUUCCCCUGAUUAAAAAUUUGGUUGAUCUACUCUGUGAGGCUAUCUUCUCUUUCAUAUCUGUUUAGUUUUGAUGUUUUGAGCAUAUUUCUGAGAUUUGAUGAUCAUCUCCCAUAUAAUUUGCGUCAAUAUGUUUUAUUGUUGUUCUUUAUUGCUGAGCAUUAUUCAAAUGCACAUCUGUAUCAGAAUAAUUAACAAGGAGACUUUGGAGGAAGUUCAUAUUUUCUCCACCUAAUCAAGCAGCAGCCAUGUGCUGUCGUCCCCCCCCCACAUCAAAUGUAACUUUAAGAGGUCAUGCACAUUUGGUUUUGCUUUAUGUAUUUUUGUUUACUGUAUGAUUUAGAAAUUUAAGUGCUUACUUAUGCAAUGUAUUUAAAACUACUGGCUUUUGUUACAAGGUACAAAAAAAUAAACAUCUUUUAAAAAUGCAAAAUAUUGCAAUGUAUCCUUAAAUGAAUUAGAAACAUAAAGAGUGCUCUAAAAUAAUGAGUCUGUGUCAGUAUUCAGGACUUCCAACUUUUCAGUCUGUCUACAUUGUCUCUAAACAAGCCUAAAAAAAUAAUAAUGAUAAAUUUAAAAAAGUCUAAUGAGUCUACAAUACUUUUGCUUAUUAGUUGAAACAGGGCUCCACCUUGUGACAAAAAUAGAACAUUUCUUCAGCUGUGAAUAUUUUAAAACAUGAAAUAUGUUCAGAGUAAAUUAAAGUGUGGGGUUUUCUUUAUGGUUGCUUCUAUUGCAGUGGUUGCAGCUGAUUAAAUCUUUGUGUUGGUUUGUAGUUGUUCAGCCAUCAGUGAGGUGUGAGCUGCAUUCCUGACAGCAGCUGUAUUUGUCAGUGUGAGGAAGGUUGGGUCUGCUCUGACUGCUGGAACAGAAGCUUGUUCUGGUCUGAGUCCCAGUUUGAGUUGGACUGUUGAUCAAUAAAGUGUCUUUGCUUACAGUCGAGCACUUUCAUUGUUACACAUGAAGCUUUAAUGUGUUCAGCUAAACUGUGCUACAGAGUAGUUAUAUUUGCUUAUCAUUAUUUGUUAUAUUUAUAGAAAUUAACUUUAUAUUUGUUCAUGGAUACAUGUCAUGGAUUUAAUAUAUUUGAAAUUCAAAUAUUUUGUCCGAAACAGUUUUAUUGCUGUGAAACUGGAGAUACAAUGCAUGCUCCAUCAUACAGGUAGGAAAAUCAAUUCUAUUCAUCUGGACGUAGCGAUUGCUGCGGUUCCCCAACUCUCCGUGAAUGGUUCUCAUGGUCUUUGAUCAGUGGUUGCUGAUUAAUGAUCUUAACAAUUUGCAUGGUAAUGAUCAAGAAACUGACCUUACAGCCCAUUGUUCGCCAGUGGUGCUAGUUUCAGUCAUUAUGCAAAUGUUCUGUUUAUAAGAUUUGGGAAAACUGCAGUCAGCUGAGACUGAAGAAGUCACUUGGAUGAGUGACGAAACGUUCCUCCCACUGAAAAGAAGCUACAUCCAGAUGAACAGAUGAAAUGACUGCUAGUCUGUCAUUGUGCUACGCUGUGUUUAUAAAAUAUAAUAAUAUGAUUUGUGUGUAUAAUCUGUCUGCAGAUUAUUAUGUCUGAGAAACUUUCUGAUUGACAAAUUAGAAAUCUCAUUAGAUCAAAAACAAUCAGUUUUGAGUUUUC
Molecule: long non-coding RNA, 2082 nt
Organism: Oreochromis niloticus (Nile tilapia)
Lineage: Eukaryota; Metazoa; Chordata; Actinopteri; Cichliformes; Cichlidae
Source: Ensembl